CAACCCUCAGGCCCCUCCGGGCGGCCUGGUGUUGGGGACCGGCGGACGGGGGGAGAGGGCCCUGCCUUCCCCCCGCCGAGCCCGCCGCCCCCGAAAUGAAUUGGCGGUCUCGUCGCGGCCUCCUCUGCGUAGUAGCACAACCUCGCAACAGGAGCGCGGCGCGGCCACUGCCGUAAAACGCACCAACUUUUAAG
Molecule: unclassified non-coding RNA, 194 nt
Filed under: uncultured Hypocreales
Lineage: Eukaryota; Fungi; Ascomycota; Sordariomycetes; Hypocreales
Description: sequence contains ITS2
Source: RNAcentral